UACGAAGGGGGCUAGCGUUGCUCGGAAUCACUGGGCGUAAAGGGUGCGUAGGCGGGUCUUUAAGUCAGAGGUGAAAUCCUGGAGCUCAACUCCAGAACUGCCUUUGAUACUGAGGAUCUUGAGGACUGGAGAGGAGACUGGAAUUUACGGUGUAGCGGUGAAAUGCGUAGAUAUCGUAAGGAAGACCAGUGGCGAAGGCGGGUCUCUGGACAGUUCCUGACACUGAGGCACGAAGGCCAGGGGAGCAAACGGG
Molecule: ribosomal RNA, 253 nt
Filed under: uncultured bacterium
Lineage: Bacteria
Description: partial 16S ribosomal RNA
Rfam family: Bacterial small subunit ribosomal RNA
Source: RNAcentral